RNAcentral lists this long non-coding RNA (5154 nucleotides) under Bemisia tabaci. RNAcentral describes it as "lncRNA ENSSSA3NGG002574". Lineage: Eukaryota; Metazoa; Arthropoda; Insecta; Hemiptera; Aleyrodidae. The record is from RNAcentral.
ACCAUAUGCAAUUGACUCAUUGAACUCCAUCCUGCUUCAGACAGAGAUGCCUUUUUUUCAGAGUUAAAAUAAAACGGGUAAUUUGUUGUAGGGGGAGGAAAAGAUGAGCUGCUGGAAGACAAGAUAUGGACUGGAAAGAAAGCCCUUGCCUUGACACGAAAUAAAAUCCGAAGCAUUGUAGAGCCAGAUCAUCCUGAGCAAGUUUUGCCCGUAAGGAAUGGCGGAGAUAACUUCAAAAAUUUGGACCAUGGCGAAACUUUCAAACAAAAAGUUGCCAGAGCACUUAAACAGAAGCUCAAACGCGGUCCUUCAAUAAGUUUUUCGUCCUCGAGUAGCAGUUCCAAUCGGACUGACAAAACAGGCAAGGCGUCACGCACGCCAAAAAGGGUGAAAAAGGCUCUAGCUCCAUUGACGGCAAUCACUGCUCCUACGGCUAUCCAAUAUAUGGGCCAAAUGUACAGGAGAGCCAAAAGCAUGGCCAAAGGGCAUAGUCGUCCACAGCGGGUGACGCGGUCAAAGCCAAUCCCAGAGCAGGAGGGCUCGCGCAGUUGCCAAUCUGAACGUUUUGAAAAGUUCUUGGACUCCUCCGACAUCAACACAGACGACGAGGAUGAGCGGUUAAAAGUAUACAGAGAUGGCUCAGCACACUGUGUGAAAAAGAAAUCAACCAAGAUUACGUAAAGGCAAUCCCAGUUGACAACUUGCCUGAAAUUUUCCAGCCAAAGGCACCAGAGCUUCCACACCUUCUCGUCAAUCCUCUCAACAAUGGCAAUAUCCACAUCCACCAUCACCGACGUGGACACUGCCCCCCGAGCGCCCCAGAGUCGUCCAACCCGACCCCCCUUUUCAGCGGCAAUGGUCAUCUCCAUCACGGCCACCACCGGACGAACCGACUCUAUCACCCCCGACCACAUCCGAUUUACCUCCCUUGCCGCGGGCCCUCUCGCGAAACCGGAUUGAGAAGAUCAAGAAGUGGCUGUUGGACAUAUGCCCGGACGGAGAUUUCACCGACAAGUUCAUUUCUACGAUCCCCCGAAGACUCCUACCAAAGAGAUUGCAAGAUAAGUAUACCACUCCUCGGCGAUCCAACAAAUCUAAAAAGCCUCAAUCACUACCCUCGCAGGUUAAUACGAGUGGAAAUACGCCUCAGUCAUACGAUAGUCGUGAUUCCAGGAAACUAAAGUCACAAGGCAGCAAGGAUUCCAAAGCAUCGGAGGAUAGUUCGUUAAAAGCAUUACAGUCGCAUAAUAGCGAGGGUUCAAAUACAACUUAUGACUAUAAGGAUCAGAAUUUUUAAAGUUUUCCUGUAAGGCAUACUUCCGCUUUUUCUUCUUAAAUUUGUCAUCUACCGAUUUUGCCCUUAGUAAAUGAGAGAGGAAUCAAGUCCAUGAAGGGAGGAACUGUUUCAAAGAUUCCUGCUGUAAUAUGAUAUCUGCAUUACUCGUAGCUGUUGUCAGGUUUAUAUUCAGUUGUAAAGCAGUAUUUAAAGUGACCUGAUACUAAAACCGCUUGUACUAUUUAUGAUCAUUUAUUAAGAAUUGGCAAAACUCUGUCGUUUUCAAUGCAAUUUGAAUUAUUUGUAUACCACACUUGUUCAGGCGUGAAUGUUUAACCUUCUUUGAAAAAUAUUUGAGGAGGCAUACUAAAAAGGAGGUUGGAUAAAAUUAUUUUUUUAUUCCUCUUCUUUCAUUUCAAUGGUGGUAGUUUCCGGGAAAGAGUCUUUUUACCCGCGAGAAUCUUAAAAUUCACGUAUUGCAUCCACUUCUUAGUGCAGUAUUGUACAAACAACUUCACAAGAAAAGCGUCCAAAAAUAUUCAACUGAACUUAGAUUAUGAUUAUUUAAAGCUUACUAUUGAAAAAAUGUACUAUUGAGGUAAAUGUUAUUAAUAGUUUCGGUGGAAAAAUCGCCUUCAUUUACGGAGACCAUGUGAGCACGUCAGGGCGCGUUUAACCGCUUGGUGCCUCUAUCAGGCUCCUUCAUUUUGUCGAUUUGACCAAAAGCCACCAUGCAUUUGUAUACUCGUUAUUUCAAAGCUAGCCUCGUAAUCUGGAAACACUCAUUAUUGCCGACCUCGUAACACUUAUUGUGUAAUAUUAUUUUAUUAUACGUCAUCAUCUAUACAUACGAAAAGGGUUGAAAAAUUUUGCUGAGUAGCAAUUUUGAAAAAUACAUUCCCCUUUUCAAAUGAGAAAGAGACUUUUUGCGCUUGGUAAAGAGAAAUGAUAGAAAUUUUGGAUCGUAAGGAAAAAAUGUGUAAUGCUCGUUCAGAUGUAAGUAAGCUCAAUUAUCUUUCCUACUCAUUUUUUCGGGUUGAGCCGUAGGAUACGGUCAUCUGAUGGCAUCCCUCAUUUCUCUGCUCCCAAAUAUGCAAAUCCAUCGGUAAAUGCCACAAAUGUCAAUUUUCUGCCAUUUGAAAUAGGUAGCUUUCUUUAAAAAUGUCACCAGAUUCGUGUUUCUCCUCUCAUAAAAUCCCGAAUACCCACUUUCAGGUAAAUUCAUUGAAGAAUGACUAAAUGCCAACUUCCCGCCAUUUUCGGCCGACAUUUUUUUUUUGAAAAAAAAAAAUAUGGCGACUUACAGAUUCCGCGGAAAAAUUUCUAUCUUUAUUCGGACGUAUCACAAGGAGGGGGCUUGCAAUUCGAAAACAAAAGUUGGGGGCCGCUCCCCCCCCCUCCAAAAAAAUUUGGAUUUACAAAAAAUUAGUCUCUCGACCCAGAGACAUUCCCAAGUUUCGUCUCAAUAGCUCAAUUAGGGAAAAUUUUAGAAAGGAAAGGGGGCACGGACAUUUGGGACAACCUGUUUAUUGAACGAAUUUCCUUGAUUCCGUACAUAAUGAUUCUUAAAUAUGCACGUACAUGUAAGUAAACGUUCUUUAGAAAAAAAUGUUAUCAAGCAGCACCUGUUAUUAGGGAACAUGCACACUAACAUAUUAAUAUUAUUACACUCCGCUUCAAAAAUAUCCUGUACAACGACAUGAGAUCCAUGGCAGGAAGACUCGCAUAGGCUGGUCAAGCACGCGUCGUCAUAAGUAGUCGCAUAAUCAUAAAAUCUCCAAAAGCUCCAGGCAACGGUCACCCUUAAGACGCGAGACGUGUCAAAUCACGAGCCUCGAUUGUAUUAAUGGCGUUUAUGGGUUUAUUUAUGGUGAAGCCAUAAAACGGGGGGUUAUAAUGUUACUGCAUUGUCAUUAAAAUGACAUUUCAGGGUGGUUUGUUAGCAAUACGGCUGAGCGUCAACGCAAAAGCUGAAAUGGUGGACUGUGCCUCGCUCCAAUCUGCGUUGCAUGAGAAGGUAUUUUAUUCAGGUUUUUUCUUUCUAGAUUAAGGGCAUGGUCGCUUUUUUCACAGUUUUCCCUUAAAUUGAUUGAGUGACGUGGCACCAUAAAACAAGCAGGAAAGCUCUAAUACGUUUGUAGUUGAGAAGCACCCACUGUUUUCUGGUUAGACGCGUUUUUAAGUUCCCCGAAGAAGAUGAACACCGUUGAGAUAAAAAAACUUACAUAACAAAAUUUAAACUAUCAAUUUUGAAAAACUACACUACCGAUAAAAAAAAGAACUACAGAAAAACGAUUAGCGUAAUCCGUGCUAUUAAAUAAAUAAGUAUCACAGAUUAAUCAAAUUUAAAUAAGUUAGGUCCCUCUUCGCCAUCUUGUUGUUGAUGGUGCGCCAUUUGAACGCAUUGCCACUCGUGUACUAGAAUUCUAAAGGCAGGUUGAAAUCAAAAAGCGCUCCUAGUCGGCUGGAAGCUUAAAAUACGAUUUCCCUAAACAACAAGUGAUAUUACCAGAGGUCUCAUAAUCUGCCCUUAUUAGUGGGUCAUUCAGCGGCUUGCGGCAUGCAAGCGCGAAACGGGCGCUGGCGCCUACAAACCUAACAGGGAUACUUCACGCAUUGCGCAAUGCGUGAAGUAUCCCUGUUAGGUUUGUAGGCGCCUAUGCGCGAGUCAUGCUAGUUGCCCGCUGCGUCACAGAGUGACACGGCGGCGCGGCGCGGGGCUUCAACCAAUUAACCUAACACCUUCGCGGAUUAAUAAGCAUCAGUUCAUCCGUUAUUUCUUUCCAGCCUGGAUUGCAAAUACAGGUCAUAUAAAAAGGGCCGGGCGGCCCUCUUAACGAGCGUAUGCAAAGCAAUCUUGAGUGUAUUCGUAAAGGUACCUUGGACUAUUUACAUGGGUCGAGGGUAAAAUAGUCGCCUGUCCCAAAUUAUUGGGAUCAAAGUUCGGAUCGUUUUGUAUUGCGUCUUUCAAAUGAGCAUAAUUUUCACAUCUCAAUUUCUUUUGAUUUAACAGAAUAUAACGUAAUUGCUCUGACUCCAUUUUAACAAUCAUAUCAGUGAUAGACUGAUGAGAUAGAUGCCGAAAACGAGGAAGUAAAUUUAAAGAAGCUCUCCGGACCAUUAUAUAAUAAGUGUAAAAAUCCUUGCAAGACACUUUCUUCCCGCGGGGCUUUUUAGACUUGGGAUCAAUCAGGAAAUUUUCGAAGUGGUAACCCUCUUGCCCUUACCAGAAAAUCAGCGGUAUUGCGGGGUUUGACAGUGCAGUUUUAAAAUUAUAUCUAUGCGAGGGAUAAUAAUAAUUUGCCAGUUAUAAAAAUGCAUACUAUCAUGGAAUAAGAAAUGCAGGUUUCGAAAAUUGUAAGGUAGGUCCGCACAUACACAUACAUUAAAGUAUACACAAAUUAUGUCGAUGAGGCGCAUUAGAUAUUAAGCUGGGAAAAUGGGCCCUGUAUGUAUUUGUUCAUAAAGACAAAUAUUAUCUGUUCCAAGCAGCAGAUUAUCAGCAGUAUUGUCUGUUGGCAAGCAGAGCUAAGGGACAGUAAGCAACUAAACGUACUCUGAGGUGCUCACGUGGUAUUCUACGUAAAUGAAGGCGUUUUACACACCGUGCGUCAGUGCGUUCUCGGAAAUAAAAGUGUGAGUGUCUUGUAAGUUAGUCAAUGAUUGCAAAAUGCGAUAUUUCUUGCAGAAGGCAUAAAAUCAAGGGAAACUUUUUAUCAAUUUAUCAAUUAUCAUUUGACGUUCAAUCCUCUAAUAAAGACAUUUUGUCUGUUUUCUGUAUUUUUUGUGUACUUUUGUUUUGCAUUAAUUGUAAAAGAAAUAUGUAUAAAUAAACUAAUACAUAUCUACCCACUUCAAUGAAGACGCACAAAAAUUCA